This 500-nucleotide ribosomal RNA is filed under the name uncultured bacterium. RNAcentral's name for it is "partial 16S ribosomal RNA". It matches the Rfam family "Bacterial small subunit ribosomal RNA", at positions 30 to 523 of the family's 1533-position model. The record is from RNAcentral.
AUUGAACGCUGGCGGAAUGCUUUACACAUGCAAGUCGAACGGCAGCACGGACUUCGGUCUGGUGGCGAGUGGCGAACGGGUGAGUAAUGUAUCGGAACGUGCCAAGUCGAGGGGGAUAACGUAGUGAAAAUUACGCUAAUACCGCAUACGAUCUAUGGAUGAAAGCGGGGGAUCGCAAGACCUCGCGCGAUUGGAGCGGCCGAUAUCAGAUUAGGUAGUUGGUGGGGUAAAGGCCCACCAAGCCAACGACCUGUAGCUGGUCUGAGAGGACGACCAGCCACACUGGAACUGAGACACGGUCCAGACUCCUACGGGAGGCAGCAGUGGGGAAUUUUGGACAAUGGGCGAAAGCCUGAUCCAGCCAUUCCGCGUGCAGGAUGAAGGCCCUCGGGUUGUAAACUGCUUUUGUACAGAACGAAAAGGUUUCUACUAAUACUAGGAGCUCAUGACGGUACUGUAAGAAUAAGCACCGGCUAACUACGUGCCAGCCGCCGCGGUAA